Molecule: non-coding RNA, 111 nt
Organism: Podarcis lilfordi (Lilford's wall lizard)
Lineage: Eukaryota; Metazoa; Chordata; Lepidosauria; Squamata; Lacertidae
Source: the annotation of a GenBank genome assembly
GGAGACCCUUAUUCCCCUCACAGAGCUACAAUUCUCAGAGUAGUUUAACAAUCAAUCCCUCUUCCUAGAGAGCUCUGAGAAUUGUAGGUCUGUGAGGGGAAUAAGGGUCUC